UCCCGCUUAGCUCAGUGGUAGAGCGCAUCACUAGUAUGAUCCUUUCGGGUGUGCGAAAUGAUGAGGUCAGUCGUUCAAGUCGGCUAGUGGGAA
Non-coding RNA from Fomes fomentarius, 93 nucleotides. The record is from the annotation of a GenBank genome assembly. Lineage: Eukaryota; Fungi; Basidiomycota; Agaricomycetes; Polyporales; Polyporaceae.